This 253-nucleotide ribosomal RNA is filed under the name uncultured bacterium. RNAcentral describes it as "partial 16S ribosomal RNA". It matches the Rfam family "Bacterial small subunit ribosomal RNA", at positions 524 to 776 of the family's 1533-position model. The record is from RNAcentral.
UACGGGGGGAGCAAGCGUUGUUCGGAUUUACUGGGCGUAAAGGGCGCGUAGGCGGCCACCGCAAGUCGACUGUGAAAUCUCCGGGCUUAACCCGGAAAGGUCAGCCGAUACUGCGGGGCUAGAGUGCAGAAGGGGCAACUGGAAUUCUCGGUGUAGCGGUGAAAUGCGUAGAUAUCGAGAGGAACACCUGCGGCGAAGGCGGGUUGCUGGGCUGAUACUGACGCUGAGGCGCGAAAGCCAGGGAGCGAACGGG